GAACCACUGAGUUCCAAUUGAAAAUGACACCACAAAGUGUUAUCGUUCCUCAAUGCAUUAUGUAUAUGUAUAUAUACUAAUACAUUUUAUAAUAAUGUAACCAGGUCAAAAGUUACAAAAGUUAUCACUGGACUGAUUAGUAAAAGCUUGAUGUUAAGGGACUCAGCAUGUAUCACACUGUAGCAUGUUCCAUCCAAUACGCUAGCCCUUUAAGAAAUGUGAAUGUGUGACGUUCUGGAAGUGUCGCGAGAUUCGCCUGUAAACAGCGCGUUUUCAUAACGUGUUUUGAAUGCUGCUCAUGCGGUGGAGCGUCGAAGCCAUAAAACUCCGUGUUAUUAUCAAUAUAAUGAGAGAGAUGCACAUAUAGUGACUGGAAAGCCUUCUUUAAUAUUUUGUUCAUGCGGAUGGCUGUGUAUUGUGCUGAGUGACCGUGAUUUCUGUCGAGACACGUACCCAUGUGACGAAAUCAGAUCGACAAUAGAUCUCGAAGCAGGGGAGAAGAGAGCUCUGUAGGCCUUCUGUUUCCUCAGGCCGAGUGUGAAGCAACAGAAGGGGAAAUUGAGUUCAUCAUUGGCUGUGAAAGCGUGUACAAUGCUAUGGUGAUGCUAUGAUGAUGAACAGUAAGUUUGAAUUAGUUGACGUUUAAAGUGUACAAGUGUUAAUUUACUGUGAUUUGAGAUUGAGUGAAUAUUAGCCAGUGUAAUGUAUUAAUGUUACUGGGAAUUGUGGCUUGUAAUUUCAUUUUUAUGCAUGUUAUGUUACAUAAGCAGCCUUAUUUGAUCUUCUAUGCAUGCUGACAAAUCUUGUAACACUCUGUGUAUUUGUUUUUCAGUAUAAGAGUCCACUAUCGUUGUCUAUGUUGGUUAUAUUCAUGUAAUUGACCUGUUAAUGUGGUGACUGAGAACAAAGAGACAAGAGAGUUUGAUGUAAAGAAAAAAUAACAUCUUUAUUGAUUUCAACCACUGUAACAAGCCUUACUGUGUAACACCUUUAAGAUUUGCAUAAUUAACGCUGCACUGUUAAGUGCAGUCUGGAAUAAACGAUCCCCUUAAAAAAAAUUAUUAAUUCCUGUGUCCGGUGUAGUCACUAACACUCACACCGGGCCACAAUAAUAUAAUAUAAUAUAGUAUAAUAUAAUAUAAUAUAGUAUAAUAUAAUAUAAUAUACAUGCAAAUCAGAGUUAUUAUAUUUAACAAAAAUAAAAUAUUAUAAAGUACAUAGACACACACACACACACACACACACACACACCAAAACUAAAAAACACAACUAAAUUGCUAAAACUUAAAUGAAAAAAAAAAAAUACAAAUAUUAGUGAGAAACUAAUUUCUGAUUUCUAAUUUAUAUCAUCUUGAUUUACUAUCUUGGACACAUAUCAAUAGUGUAGAUUAAAUUAUUAUAAAAGUCAUCUUCAUUGGAUUUUUUUUUUUUUUUUUUUUUUUUGCAGUCAUAGCUUUGUCAAUGUAAUAAAGAGAGCCCACCUAAACUCAUUGCUCAUUAAAUAUUCUUAAUCAUUAUCAGAUGGUGGUCCAGAUGGUCCGUGGUGCAGUUCAUUUUGCCAGGUCAUUU
Long non-coding RNA from Carassius auratus (goldfish), 1569 nucleotides. The record is from Ensembl. NCBI's taxonomy places the organism in Eukaryota, Metazoa, Chordata, Actinopteri, Cypriniformes, Cyprinidae.